RNAcentral lists this ribosomal RNA (253 nucleotides) under uncultured bacterium. RNAcentral's name for it is "partial 16S ribosomal RNA". It matches the Rfam family "Bacterial small subunit ribosomal RNA", at positions 524 to 776 of the family's 1533-position model. The record is from RNAcentral.
GACAGAGGGUGCAAACGUUGCUCGGAAUCACUGGGCGUAAAGGGCGUGUAGGCGGGAAGGAAAGUCAGAUGUGAAAUCCCUGGGCUCAACCCAGGAACUGCAUUUGAAACUCCCUUUCUUGAGUACCGGAGAGGAAGGUGGAAUUCCUGGUGUAGAGGUGAAAUUCGUAGAUAUCAGGAGGAACACCGGUGGCGAAGGCGAGUCCCUGGACAACACCUGACACUGAGGCACGAAAGCUAGGGGAGCAAACAGG